RNAcentral lists this ribosomal RNA (253 nucleotides) under uncultured bacterium. RNAcentral describes it as "partial 16S ribosomal RNA". It matches the Rfam family "Bacterial small subunit ribosomal RNA", at positions 524 to 776 of the family's 1533-position model. The record is from RNAcentral.
UACGUAGGGGACGAGCGUUGUCCGGAAUUAUUGGGCGUAAAGAGCGUGUAGGCGGCCCUGCAAGUCCUGCGUGAAAUCUCGAGGCUUAACCUCGAGCCUGCAUUCGAUACUGGGCGGCUAGAGUCUGGUAGGGGGAUCUGGAAUUCCUGGUGUAGCGGUGGAAUGCGCAGAUAUCAGGAGGAACACCGGUGGCGAAGGCGGGAUCCUGGGCCAGUACUGACGCUCAUGUGCGAAAGCGUGGGGAGCAAACAGG